Molecule: ribosomal RNA, 359 nt
Filed under: uncultured bacterium
Lineage: Bacteria
Description: bacterial SSU rRNA
Rfam family: Bacterial small subunit ribosomal RNA
Source: RNAcentral
UCGAACUUUACGUGGCCGCACCUGUGGUUCGUAAACAGCGUUGGUUAAUCUGCCUUCAGGUCGGAAUAUACUCAUGGAAACUUUAGCUAAUCCGUAUAAUCAUUCCAUCCAGAGCUUUUCCCUGAGGAUGAGCCCGCGUCGGAUUAGCUUUUGGUGGGGUAAAAGACCUCCCCAGGGGCGUUCCUGUAGCUGGUCUGGGAGGAUGCCUCAGCCACACUGGGACUGAGACGCGGCCCAGACUCCUACGGGAGGCAGCAGUGGGGAAUAUUGGACAAUGGGCGAAAGCCUGAUCCAGCAAUGCCGCGUGAGUGAUGAAGGCCUUAGGGUUGUCUGCUCUUUUACCCGGGAUGAUAAUGACA